RNAcentral lists this small RNA (572 nucleotides) under Pan troglodytes (chimpanzee). RNAcentral's name for it is "processed transcript". Lineage: Eukaryota; Metazoa; Chordata; Mammalia; Primates; Hominidae. The record is from RNAcentral.
AAGGAGGUGCAGACAAGGACCCUCUUGCUUUCCUCACUAUGGAUAGUCUGUUGCCUCCAUCUAGAUUCUCUUAUUUCAAAAAAUAUCCUCUCCAUGCAAUUAGGAGAUAUUUAUCGACGCUGAGAAACCAAAGAGCCGAAGAACAGAUUCUCUUGCAGCAAGUGUUUCACAAAGCCAAAUCCCCACAUAUGUAGAAGAUUAACAGCAUUAAUGAGAUGAAGAUGCUGAAGGAGGAAAGCUGACAAGGAGUCAGAAAACACAGGCCAGCUAAUUUAAUCUACAAGAAUUUGGGAUGACCUGUACAAAUGUCUCGCUCUCUUGAACAGAGAUUUUUUUUUUUCUGAUUGAGAAAUACCAUUCAAGGGCUAAUCUGACAAGUCUUGCCUGUUUAACAGUGAAUCUGCUUAAAAUGAGGAGAGUGGUCUUUGGGCCCGGGGGCAUGUACUGUAGCUACAUUUUAAUUACAGAGUAGAAUCAAAUUUUGUUUUGGAAGCUGUUCUAAAGUUUCCUUUCAAUGGCUUAAGAAAAUGUUUCUAGUUGGAACGGGAUCACUGGAUUUUUUUUUCUUUGCU